UUUGUUUUCAUAAUUCAGAUUUACCGAGCAUAUAGAGGGUUUUUGUGUGAACGUCAAGUCUUCAGAAAGGAAUCCGAAAAGCAGAUGAGAACGGGGUACAUAUCAUUACUACAUCAAAUCCUGUUGAAUUCUAACUACAGGGAACACAGACAUCAGGCCAGUGAACUCCUAAGUUAUCUGACGAGAAUCAGCAAGGAAGAAGAAAAAGAAGGCGAACAAGACAGACUUAUUGCCUAAGAAAUACUCAAACACUCGUCGAAAUGUUUCUAAUUUUCAGUUGGGCGUCGUAAGUAAUCCGGGAUAGCUUUGGUUUUGUUUUUCUUUGCUCUCUGAUUGGUCCAGACAACUCACGUCACACUCUCAACCAAUCAGAUGCAAAACUGGAGUUAGUGACGUUUUGACUUCUCGCAUUUUCCCGCGCCUCCCUUUAUUUCGAGUUUUGAAUGGCUCCUUGAGAUAAUUCCAUUUCUUUGAUCGGUCGAUAUGAUCAUUUGGUGUUGGCCUUGUAACAACCAAGCGAAGGGUCCUUUAAAAAUGAAUUUAAGCUUAUUCGACUGUUUUAAGUAUUUUUGCUGCGAUGACUUUAAAUUAUAAUUCGGAGCCUAUCAGCAGAACACUCUGCAAGGAGAUUCACUCCUUACACAAAAAGAUGUUAUAUACUUAAUGAAAUUAUUUCGAAGAGACGCCAUCACUUUUAAAAAAGAA
Stylophora pistillata is the source of this 705-nucleotide long non-coding RNA. Lineage: Eukaryota; Metazoa; Cnidaria; Anthozoa; Scleractinia; Pocilloporidae. The record is from RefSeq and is a predicted model, not a curated record.